This 426-nucleotide unclassified non-coding RNA is filed under the name Melitaea cinxia (Glanville fritillary). RNAcentral's name for it is "misc RNA ENSMCXG00005012546.1". Lineage: Eukaryota; Metazoa; Arthropoda; Insecta; Lepidoptera; Nymphalidae. The record is from RNAcentral.
UUUUGGGUUGUAUUGUCGCAUAGAUAACCGACUCUUGGUUGGUAUUAUUUGUUUAUCAACAGCGGUGUAUUCUUCUUUGGGAAUUGUCAAAAGCCUCUGCCUUGUAACGUAUAUUUUUAUUCUUCGUUCAUUCUCCUAACAAUUAUUUCGUUUCGUCGAAUAUAUUUUUCUUCAUUAUUCAUCAUUUCAUCAUCAUUAUUUCGCGGUUAACCUACAGAUUAGGCUCUCCUAUAUAAGCGCUGGUGCUGUGCGGCUCCUUCCUUUUCUUUGGUCUUCAGCCUCGGUCAGGCGCGGGGUGCGAUUUUGUUGGGGUCCUUGGUGUGGCGGACACGUACUGUUGUUGCCGGUGAUACCACGUGGCACGAUUUUAUGGGAUGGCUGCCAGGACCCCAACAUUCUACGAUAAAGAACUGCCCAACAUUCUAC